RNAcentral lists this transfer RNA (60 nucleotides) under Panagrellus redivivus. RNAcentral describes it as "tRNA-Leu". Lineage: Eukaryota; Metazoa; Nematoda; Chromadorea; Rhabditida; Panagrolaimidae. The record is from RNAcentral.
AUUGCAUAUAUUAUAAGGAAGAUAUAUUAGAUUUAGAAUCUAAAGAUAAAUAUUGCAAUA